UACGGGGGGAGCAAGCGUUGUUCGGAUUUACUGGGCGUAAAGGGCGCGUAGGCGGCCAGCACAAGUCAGUUGUGAAAUCUCCGAGCUUAACUCGGAAAGGUCAACUGAUACUGUGCGGCUAGAGUGCAGAAGGGGCAACUGGAAUUCUUGGUGUAGCGGUGAAAUGCGUAGAUAUCAAGAGGAACACCUGCGGCGAAGGCGGGUUGCUGGGCUGAUACUGACGCUGAGGCGCGAAAGCCAGGGGAGCGAACGGG
RNAcentral lists this ribosomal RNA (254 nucleotides) under uncultured bacterium. Its description in RNAcentral is "partial 16S ribosomal RNA". It matches the Rfam family "Bacterial small subunit ribosomal RNA", at positions 524 to 776 of the family's 1533-position model. The record is from RNAcentral.